RNAcentral lists this long non-coding RNA (955 nucleotides) under Homo sapiens (human). RNAcentral describes it as "HSALNT0330785". The record is from RNAcentral. Lineage: Eukaryota; Metazoa; Chordata; Mammalia; Primates; Hominidae.
AGCCUUGCUUUCCGAGGGCGGCGUGCAGCCACAGUGCCCGCUGCGGGUGCUGGGGAAUGGCGCCUUACAGGCUGCCCACCUGCCUCCUCAGGGUGGAAGGCGGGGCUUGGGUGUGAGCGUGCUGAAUCAGAACUUUCCUGGAAAGUCGCCACUUGGUGUGGUCAGAGGAUCACUGAAGUAACAACUGCACAGAGCCUGUGCUUAAGAUGGCAGGAUCGCAAGACAGAGCAACUGGAGCAAGUCCUCAUUAAGAAGAGCCGCCCGAUGCAUUUGGACUGCGAUGUGUUACGCCCAUGAGAUUUCAGGGUUAAUUUGUUACCUGGCCGUGGCCUAUCCUCUUCCAGCAGAUACAGAGGCUACUGCAGUUUGCAACUUUGCAGAUACCAGCAGAGGAAGAAAAACCUGGGAGACUGCUGCUAACCUAAUGUGGAGACUUGACUUAAACUUCAGCCAGACAAAGGCGGAAUCUUAAUAUGGAGGGGCCUGGCUCUGCAGGGAGGUCACCUGGGCUGGCUGGAUUUCAAUCCAGUUACACAGCAAAAAAGUUACAACCCAAGCUUUGGCGAUGCUGAGCCUUCUACUCUCAGGGAUUCCAAAGCAUUUGAUAAACUCUUUCUUUGUUCCAUUGUUUACUGACUUCCUAGUGCUUGUCUUGUUCUGCAGUUAUUUAUUUAUUUUUAUUUAUUAGUUUUUACUUAUGAUCUACCCCUCUCUCCCAUCUCCCCGCAACCUGAAGAUAAGUGACUGGAGCAGAAUCCACUUCUGCUGAGAAGCUCUGGAUGACCACGGAUAAGCAGGAAGGCAUGUGACAUAUUGGCAAGUGAGUCAGACAGAAAGAGAGACGUGGGAUCGAGUCCUGGCAUUGCCCUUUCUAGCUAUUGUGUCCUUGGACAGGCGCCACUCAAUGGAGUUUAAGCCAUUCUCCAUAGGCAGGGAGAUGUUGCAGCGUCCAAUG